RNAcentral lists this unclassified non-coding RNA (122 nucleotides) under uncultured Rozellomycota. RNAcentral's name for it is "uncultured Cryptomycota sequence contains ITS1". The record is from RNAcentral. Lineage: Eukaryota; Fungi; Rozellomycota.
CAAAUCUUUUGCGAGUGCUGCGUGCUUAACUGUGCGUAGCAUUUCACAACAUUAGCACAAGGUCGCAAGACCUUGAUGUUUACGCUUGUUUGUUUGACAGAGUUAGUUGAGACAAAAAAAGA